AUGACCUUUGGCCACUCGUGACCUUUGGCCACUCGUGCCUCUUGGGACAUGCCCAACACUCAAAAUAAAACAUCCAUCAUAUAUAUAUAAAGCCGCGUAAAGCGGUAAGGGAUUCAAAGCCGCCAACAGCCAGUCCCGAUAAGCAAUAAAAACGGCCAAAACGGGCCCGUACAAUCUCUCUAAAUAAAGGCCACACUCGGCCACAAACAUAAAACGGAAAGACAAGCAUCUUUCUUUAACCACUCCACCUCUCA
RNAcentral lists this long non-coding RNA (254 nucleotides) under Brassica napus (rape). Its description in RNAcentral is "long non-coding RNA (BNAP_LNC004479)". Lineage: Eukaryota; Viridiplantae; Streptophyta; Magnoliopsida; Brassicales; Brassicaceae. The record is from RNAcentral.